CCUACGGGUGGCAGCAGUGGGGAAUAUUGCACAAUGGGGGCAAGCCUGAUGCAGCGACGCCGCGUGAGUGAAGAAGGCCUUCGGUAUGUAAAGCUCUAUUAGCAGGGAAGAAAAUGACGGUACCUGAGUAAGAAGCCCCGGCUAACUACGUGCCAGCAGCCGCGGUAAUACGUCGGGGGCAAGCGUUAUCCGGAGUUACUGGGUGUAAAGGGAGCGUAGACGGGAGUGCAAGUCUGGAGUGAAAGGCGGGGGCUCAACCCCCGGACUGCUCUGGAAACUGUACGGCUGGAGUGCAGGAGAGGUAAGUGGAAUUCAUAGUGUAGCGGUGAAAUGCGUAGAUAUCAGGAGGAACACCAGUGGCGAAGGCGGCUUACUGGACUGUAACUGACAUUGAGGCUCGAAAGCGUGGGGAGCAAACAGGAUUAGAUACCCUAGUAGUC
RNAcentral lists this ribosomal RNA (440 nucleotides) under uncultured bacterium. RNAcentral's name for it is "partial 16S ribosomal RNA". It matches the Rfam family "Bacterial small subunit ribosomal RNA", at positions 338 to 795 of the family's 1533-position model. The record is from RNAcentral.